AGUGAACGCUGGCGGUAGGCCUAACACAUGCAAGUCGAACGGCAGCACAGUAAGAGCUUGCUCUUACGGGUGGCGAGUGGCGGACGGGUGAGGAAUACAUCGGAAUCUACUUUUUCGUGGGGGAUAACGUAGGGAAACUUACGCUAAUACCGCAUACGACCUACGGGUGAAAGUAGGGGAUCUUCGGACCUUGCGCGAUUGAAUGAGCCGAUGUCGGAUGAGCUAGUUGGCGGGGUAAAGGCCCACCAAGGCGACGAUCCGUAGCUGGUCAGAGAGGAUGGUCAGGCAAACUGGAAGUGAAAAACGGUACAGACUCCUAAGGGAGGCAGCAGUGGGGAAUAGUGGACAAUGGGCGAAAGCAUGAUCCAGCCAUACCGCGUGGGUGAAGAAGGCCUGCGGGUUGUAAAGCCCUUUUGUUAGGAAAGAAAAGCAGCAGGUUAAUACCCCGCUGUUCUGACGGUACCCAAAGAAUAAGCACCGGCUAACUUCGUG
Molecule: ribosomal RNA, 492 nt
Filed under: uncultured bacterium
Lineage: Bacteria
Description: partial 16S ribosomal RNA
Rfam family: Bacterial small subunit ribosomal RNA
Source: RNAcentral